Molecule: ribosomal RNA, 424 nt
Filed under: uncultured bacterium
Lineage: Bacteria
Description: bacterial SSU rRNA
Rfam family: Bacterial small subunit ribosomal RNA
Source: RNAcentral
GGGGAAUCUUGCGCAAUGGGCGAAAGCCUGACGCAGCGACGCCGCGUGCGGGAAGAAGGCCCUAGGGUUGUAAACCGCUUUCAGGAGGGACGAAGCCACUCGGGUGAAUAGCCCAGAGGGUGACGGUACCUCCAGAAGAAGCCCCGGCUAACUACGUGCCAGCAGCCGCGGUAAUACGUAGGGGGCAAGCGUUGUCCGGAUUUAUUGGGCGUAAAGAGCGUGUAGGCGGCCAGGUAGGUCGGUUGUGAAAACUGGAGGCUCAACCUUCAGACGUCGACCGAAACCCCCUGGCUAGAGUCCGGGAGAGGAGAGUGGAAUUCCUGGUGUAGCGGUGGAAUGCGCAGAUAUCAGGAAGAACACCCGUGGCGAAAGCGGCUCUCUGGAACGGUACUGACGCUGAGACGCGAAAGCGUGGGGAGCGAAC